AGUAUUGUCAUCUGAUAAAGUCAUGCCGAUUAGAAGAUACACAGUUUUUCUCUGCUUUCAAGUCUUUCUGUUUGAACCCGUCGAACUGAAACAAUAAUAUUAAUUAUUUGGAAAACAAAAGGUCAUGGAAUGGAGUAUUUUUUAAUCAACAGCAUAGUCCUAUAUAAGUUAUAAAUAAAGUUGAAUUCUUUGCUUCGCUGUUUUACGUCAUGCCCACC
This 218-nucleotide long non-coding RNA is filed under the name Mytilus galloprovincialis (Mediterranean mussel). The record is from RNAcentral. Lineage: Eukaryota; Metazoa; Mollusca; Bivalvia; Mytilida; Mytilidae.